UACGGAGGGGGCGAGCGUUAUUCGGAAUUAUUGGGCGUAAAGAGCGUGUAGGCGGCCAGGCAGGUCCGCUGUGAAAACUCGAGGCUCAACCUCGAGACGCCGGUGGAAACCGUAAGGCUAGAGUCCGGAAGAGGAGAGUGGAAUUCCUGGUGUAGCGGUGAAAUGCGCAGAUAUCAGGAAGAACACCCGUGGCGAAGGCGGCUCUCUGGGACGGUACUGACGCUGAGACGCGAAAGCGUGGGGAGCGAACAGG
RNAcentral lists this ribosomal RNA (253 nucleotides) under uncultured bacterium. RNAcentral describes it as "partial 16S ribosomal RNA". It matches the Rfam family "Bacterial small subunit ribosomal RNA", at positions 524 to 776 of the family's 1533-position model. The record is from RNAcentral.